GUAAACAGGAAACAGCACAGACAGAGCUGGGGAUAAAAAUAAACCGAAAGUCUCGUCAUCGCUGCUGGGCUGGUAAACCCACUCACACCCUCUCAAACCAAGGCUCCAUCCCUCUGGAACUUGAUACAGUCCUUUACUUGGAUGCUUUUGGCCCCUCGGAUAACAUUUAUGCUGAUUGAUAGGACGGUACCAAUGAAAUUAGAUCGCUUCUCCGUUGCCAGUUUAGUUGGACACAGUGGUGGAGGUUCAACUGACGAGGAGGCAUACAAAGGCAUGUCAAUUGCUAUUGGAAACCUGUUUGAUCACCACACACUGCAAAAUCAUUCUGGCUAUGGAUACGGAGAACAUCAACACAUUAACAUCAACAUACCAGAGGAUAUACCCAUUGGACUUGUGGCUCUGCUGGGAGUUUACCU
Molecule: long non-coding RNA, 416 nt
Organism: Oncorhynchus tshawytscha (Chinook salmon)
Lineage: Eukaryota; Metazoa; Chordata; Actinopteri; Salmoniformes; Salmonidae
Source: Ensembl